GGCCAGUUAGCUCAGCCAGUUGACCAUGGCGCUAACAACGCCAAGGUGGUCGUGGGUUCGAUUCCCAUUCAGUCCC
RNAcentral lists this transfer RNA (76 nucleotides) under Apaloderma vittatum (bar-tailed trogon). It matches the Rfam family "tRNA". From Rfam's summary of the family: Transfer RNA (tRNA) molecules are approximately 80 nucleotides in length. Lineage: Eukaryota; Metazoa; Chordata; Aves; Trogoniformes; Trogonidae. The record is from Rfam by way of RNAcentral.